Molecule: long non-coding RNA, 281 nt
Organism: Amphimedon queenslandica
Lineage: Eukaryota; Metazoa; Porifera; Demospongiae; Haplosclerida; Niphatidae
Exons: 2
Source: RefSeq, a predicted model, not a curated record
CCCUCCCUCCCUCUCUCCUCCAUUAGUAUUGAUUAUAAAGUUGAUAGAGAUCAAGUGAGACGAGUUGAAUUCACUCAAGGAGACAAUGGUGUAUAUACAAGAUUGUUUGCAAGGAAAAUAAAGAAUUAAUAAUAACAUUAUAAUGACAGUAAAUACAGUGUAGACUCUGUGUGUAUAAUCAUUUUAUCUCAUUUAUUCAAUAUUACUUUUUGUGUGUGUACGAUAAUUAUUAUUGAUUGUGUUACAUCAGUUUGAUUGUUCCUUACUUCUAUUCAAUGGAA